AUGAAAACAACGAUCGGAAGAAUCAUUAGGGCUUUUGCAGAAAUGGAGAAGAUUAGAAGAGCAUCUCACGCUGGUCCAUAGUACACCGACAAUUGUAAGCACCCAAAUUUCGCCCAAUGUUUUUUGCUAGUAACAUUUUUUUUUUUUUCGAAUUUAGAUUGAUCUUUGCUUCUCCAAGUUUCAUACUUUAUUGUAAUUCGAUUUAACUCGAAAUCUCGAGUGUGGUGGUAAUUAACUAUGCUCAAAAUCGUUUACUCAGCACCCCAAAAAGACUAAUCUUGAAGGUUCUUGUUGAAAGGAUUAGUUUUUCUUUUCUUUUCUUUUUAUUUUGAUGCAAUGUUAAAAGGAAAGCAUUCUAAUUGUUUUAUAUUCACAUCCUUCAUCCUUGCAGAUGAUAACUGAAGAGUGGAAAAGGAAGAAAGAAAAUAAAUCUCUUUGAAUUGGUGUAAUCACAUGAAUAUCAGAGGAAUGAAUGCAUGACCCCUCAGAAUUCAAUGAUUAUCAUCUGAAUAAAGAUAUUUGAUGAGUAUUCUGAUAUUCUCAGUGAUAUAUAUUAGCAGUACAAAAAUCUUUCUGGUGAAUCUUGGAUGUCUUAGGUCCUCAAAUAUAUUUUUCGCCUAGUUUAAUUUAUUUUUAUACUAUAGGUGUUUUCUGUUGUUAUUUAUAGACAAUGUUGAAGUAUGAAGUGGAGAAAUCUAUUAAUUUAAUGAGAUUAUUGUUUCUUAUUGUUUUGUUGUCGUUUGAGAGUGCGCUUUUAUUGCUCAGAGCCUACCCCUGCUAAGUUAACGUCAAUGUUUUGAUUUGUUUUGUUUAGGUUGUUUUCUUCACAAACUCGGGAUGGAGGCAAAUGAGCUGGCUUUAAUGAUGGAUUGAUUGUAAACGGGCUGUCAUGAUGUAAUUUCAAUCAGGAACGGGUAUCAUGGCAAUGCAGCUGGGACAAUGGGUGUCACUGCUUAAAGUAGCUACAAAUUCAAUGUUGUCCAGAAUCCGAACCAAUACAGAGGUGACUUUGGGUCUGAUGGAUUGAAGUAUGCAAGAGAUGUUGAUGAUAUAAUUACUUAUGGAACAUCUGGUCGUGUUGCUGCCUAUAUUUGUGAAGCCUUACAGGUUGUUAUUUGAUGCAAUUGUGCACAGUUUGAUGCUUGCAUUUUAUUUAAAUGAUUGCCAAUUUUUUUCCUAGUUUUUUAUGCUUACAAAAUUCAAUUUUUAUAUGGAGUGGGUGGGAUUAUGGAGUUGGCUCCUCGAUCUUUGCCGGCAGUCUAUAGCACCAUUAGAAAGGCAGGGGGUGUUUGCGCUGAUGAGGUCGAAUCAGGUUUUGCUCGUACGGGACCCAUUUUUGGGGAUUUGAUGCCCAUGGUGUUGUGCCUGAUAUCGUAAAUGGCCAAAGUAGAAGCUACCUUAGCGUAACUCUUGUUCUAAAACUACCAGAUAAUUUGCUUAAAUUCUAAGACUUAUUAGCUUUAUUUUGGAGAUGCGAGCUACUCUUAUCCCAUUAUAUUGUGAUACUUUUGUUCUAAUUUCAAGUGAAUGAUGGAGUGUUCAAAAAAAAAAAAAAAAAAAAAAAAAA
Molecule: long non-coding RNA, 1567 nt
Filed under: Rehmannia glutinosa
Lineage: Eukaryota; Viridiplantae; Streptophyta; Magnoliopsida; Lamiales; Orobanchaceae
Description: AGT2
Source: RNAcentral